This 427-nucleotide ribosomal RNA is filed under the name uncultured Acidobacterium sp. Its description in RNAcentral is "bacterial SSU rRNA". It matches the Rfam family "Bacterial small subunit ribosomal RNA", at positions 958 to 1385 of the family's 1533-position model. The record is from RNAcentral. Lineage: Bacteria; Pseudomonadati; Acidobacteriota; Terriglobia; Terriglobales; Acidobacteriaceae.
AACGCGAAGAACCUUACCUGGGCUCGAAAUGUUGUGGACCGGGGUAGAAAUAUCCCUUCCCCGCAAGGGGCCGCAAUAUAGGUGCUGCAUGGCUGUCGUCAGCUCGUGUCGUGAGAUGUUGGGUUAAGUCCCGCAACGAGCGCAACCCUUAUCUUCAGUUGCUACCAUUUAGUUGAGCACUCUGACGAAACCGCCUCGGAUAACGGGGAGGAAGGUGGGGAUGACGUCAAGUCCUCAUGGCCUUUAUGUCCAGGGCUACACACGUGCUACAAUGGCCGGUACAAACCGUCGCAAACCCGCGAGGGGGAGCUAAUCGGAAAAAGCCGUCCUCAGUUCGGAUCGCAGUCUGCAACUCGACUGCGUGAAGCUGGAAUCGCUAGUAAUCGCGGAUCAGAACGCCGCGGUGAAUACGUUCCCGGGCCUUGUA